This 164-nucleotide ribosomal RNA is filed under the name uncultured bacterium. RNAcentral describes it as "partial 16S rRNA". It matches the Rfam family "Bacterial small subunit ribosomal RNA", at positions 355 to 511 of the family's 1533-position model. The record is from RNAcentral.
UAGGGAAUCUUCCACAAUGGACGAAAGUCUGACCGAGCAACGCCGCGUGAGUGAAGAAGGUUUUCGGAUCGUAAAACUCUGUUGUUAGAGAAGAACAAGGGUGAGAGUAACUGUUCACCCCUUGACGGUAUCUAACCAGAAAGCCACGGCUAACUACGUGCCAG